Molecule: ribosomal RNA, 501 nt
Filed under: uncultured bacterium
Lineage: Bacteria
Description: partial 16S ribosomal RNA
Rfam family: Bacterial small subunit ribosomal RNA
Source: RNAcentral
ACUCAAAUGAAUUGACGGGGGCCCGCACAAGCGGUGGAGCAUGUGGUUUAAUACGUCACUAACCGUAGAACCUUACCAGGGCUUGACAUGUGAGGCACCGGGGUGAAAGCCUCGUUCCCGGAAACGGGACCUCAACACAGGUGUUGCAUGGCUGUCGUCAGCUCGUGUCGUGAGAUGUUGGGUUAAGUCCCGCAACGAGCGCAACCCUCAUCCCAUGUUGCCAGCGGGUGAUGCCGGGGACUCUUGGGAAACUGCCGGGGUAACUCGGAGGAAGGUGAGGAUGACGUCAAGUCAGCAUGGCCCUUACGCCCUGGGCUACACACAUGCUACAAUGGACGGAAGACAGAGCGACCCGAAGCCGCGAGGGGGAGGCAAUCGCCAAAUCCGUUCUCAGUUCGGAUUGCAGGCUGCAACUCGCCUGCAUGAAGUCGGAAUCGCUAGUAACCGCAGAUCAGCGAAGCUGCGGUGAAUACGUUCCCGGGCCUUGCACACACCGCCCGU